UGCCCUUUAAGCUAAAAGGUUAGUGGCUUGGUGGAGCCCCACGGUCUUCAGGAGGACUUUGAACUGAAAGCAACAUGCAGACAUGAAGAUCCGGUCCUGGAGCCUUAAUGACAUCUUCUUGCUGCCUUAAGGAGCCAGUAGCAGGACUGAAACUUCCUUCUGUGAGUCUUAACAAGAGAUGUAUCACUUGGGAGCGACACGGUGAGUUAGUCCAGGAAGAUGUCACAGGGACUGGAGGGUGACACAGUCCACGCUCCGGCUCUGUCGCCCCCGGGGUCAGAAAGUGAGCUGGCGAGCGCUCGUAGGGGGUCAGCGCACGGGUGCCACAGGGCUCCCGCGUCCUCACUGCCAGCUCUGCCCCUUUUCUGACCCGGGGACAACACAGAUCUUUUGUGCUUGUAGAACAUCUGGAAUUUAAUUCACAUGGAGAAGACACACAUUUAGGCCACAUUCAGUUUAGGGGCUUGUUGGACAGUCAGCUGCUGAGCCUCAGCUCCUCGUGGAGAAUUUGACUGAAAGUAGCGUUUAGUGCAGUUCAAAACUGCCUGAUGCCCCUCCACUUAAAUGAGUCCAGAGAAAACAGAAAAAGCACAAAGUACAGCUGAGGCCCAGGGUCAGGAGGAGAAAGGCAAUGUGUUUUUGUUCCUCUGGGCAGGGCUGUGGGUGAGCCCCUCCCUCCUCUGUGACCAGGUCCCAGUGACGCCUCCCUCGUCUGUGACCAGGUCCCGGUGACCCCUCUCUCCUCUGUGACCAGGUCCUGGUGACCCCUCCCUCCUCUGUGACCAGGUCCCGGUGACCACCUCCCUCCUCUGUGACCAGGUCUGGGUGAGCCAGCCCUCAGGCAGGGGCUGCAGCCAGGCUGGAACCUGCUUCUCCCUCAGAACCUCUUCUCGCCCUGAAGGGUGUCCAGAGGCGGGUUCGCUGCGUGGCCAGGGAAGUAUGUACUCCCAGCUUUCCCAUUCAAGUUUCCUGCUGCCUUGCAACUUAUCCGCUUGUUUUGGAAGAGAUAAACCCUCACGUUGGAAUCUAAGUCAUGGCUGCAGUAGUGAUAAUCCGAGGAGAAAAAGACUAAGGAACCUAAUUUUUACAUUGUUUUCAGGAAAGGACAGCAAACAGAUGCCUGUGGAAUCUGCUGUCCGCCAGGAAGAGAGGCCUGUUUCAAGGAGCAGGUCUAACAAAAUACGAGCCUCUCCUGCCUCUCUGAGGAAGACCCACCCGGUGGCAGGUGGUGUUGGGCACAGGCUGCCGUGUAAAUCAGAGACAAGGCGUGUGGCCGAUAGGAAGGGUCGGGUGGCCCUGCGCCUGGCACCCUCAGAUGUCCUUGUUUAG
This 1329-nucleotide long non-coding RNA is filed under the name Felis catus (domestic cat). Its description in RNAcentral is "lncRNA (ENSFCAG00000041650.2)". Lineage: Eukaryota; Metazoa; Chordata; Mammalia; Carnivora; Felidae. The record is from RNAcentral.